This 468-nucleotide ribosomal RNA is filed under the name uncultured bacterium. RNAcentral describes it as "partial 16S ribosomal RNA". It matches the Rfam family "Bacterial small subunit ribosomal RNA", at positions 28 to 507 of the family's 1533-position model. The record is from RNAcentral.
GACGAACGCUGGCGGCGUGCUUAACACAUGCAAGUCGAACGGAAAGGCCCUGCUUUUGUGGGGUGCUCGAGUGGCGAACGGUUGAGUAACACGUGAUUAACCUUCCCUUGACUUUGGGAUAACUUCAGGAAACUGGGGCUAAUACCGGAUAGUAGCUCCUGCUGCAUGGUGUGGGUUGGAAAGUUUCGGCGGUUGGGGAUGGACUCGCGGCUUAUCAGCUUGUUGGUGGGGUAGUUGCUUACCAAGGCUUUGACGGGUAGCCGGCCUGAGAGGGUGACCGGCCACAUUGGGACUGAGAUACGGCCAAGACUCCUACGGGAGGAAGCAGUGGGGAAUAUUGCACAAUGGGCGGAAGCCUGAUGCAGCAACGCCGCGUGCGGGAUGACGGCCUUCGGGUUGUAAACCGCUUUCGCCUGUGACGAAGCGUGAGUGACGGUAAUGGGUAAAGAAGCACCGGCUAACUACGUG